Molecule: long non-coding RNA, 7394 nt
Filed under: Setaria viridis
Lineage: Eukaryota; Viridiplantae; Streptophyta; Magnoliopsida; Poales; Poaceae
Description: long non-coding RNA (SVIR_LNC005916)
Source: RNAcentral
GCACAUCUUUACCCACAAGUCGCGUAAAAGCUCAAAAGAACUUUAGACCCAACCACGCUUGUGCUGAUCAGGCACAAUACCACACUUCCGAGGUGUGAUUGCAUAGGGACGCUACGAGGCCUUUACAAAGAUUCGCUAGCAAUGUGGUAACCCGCUAAGGUUUCAGGUCGAAGCGAAACAUAGCAGUCCCCUAGAGGGUAUAGUGUCUUAGCCAAGCCCACUUCCCAAGAGAGCGAGUGCUAUAUCCCAUCAACGCCUCCCCUCUUGCCCUUUCGGUAAGGUUACCCCAAACUAGAGUUUCUGAUUAUUCAGCCAAGACCAGAGCCAUUUAGUCUUGUGGUAGCACUGUUUUCCUGGGUGGUCGCUCCAUGUUCCAAUUAAAUAUGGUAAUCUUGUAUUAACAAAAGGUAUAUCAUAAAUGGAAUAAGUUCACCAAGUCGUUCGUUAGAACCACCAUAACCCAAGUAUAGCAGCUAAGCAUAGCUACCCAACAAAAGGGUAAACCCAGGUUGGCAAGGAAUAAUCAUAAAAACUAGGCAAACCUUAAUAGGACCCAUCAAAUUUAAUGCAAGCAUAUGCAAUAGUGAUUAAACAAAGUUAUUGGGACAAAAGCACAAGGACACACUUGCCUUUCUCCAGCGACAAGUUCCUUCUUACUGCUCUUCGGCUCUUGCUCUCUUGAAACUCUUAAUCUUCAAAGCUUUCGAACAGCGAUCCUUCUACUCGAAGCAAUCACCGGCACAGUCAUACAAGCAAGCAAACAAAUACAACUAAGAGCAGUACACCAAAACAAAAGGAAAGCUUUAAAAGAGCGUACUAACGACAAGGCUCGAUCUAAGGUCACGCGAACGUAAGGAACGCUUAAAACGGAACUAUGGUUGAAAAGAUAAAGCUAUCGAGAGUUUUGAAUUAUAAAAGAAAGAUAAGAGCUACAAGCUUUAUUUAUUUUAGUUGAGAAAAGCAAUGUAAAGAUAUUUCAGAGAAAUAUCCUUAGUUAGAAUUAAUCAAGUCAUAUUUAUAUUUUCAUAAGAAAAGACGGUGUAAAGCUUACUCCAAUUUUAUUUAUAAAUAUUUGAGUACAAUUUAUGCAAAUUAAACAUUUAAUUUAAAAAUAAGAUACAUGUAGACAUCUAAGCGUAUAGCUUUACAUCUCGAGUUCAACUAAGUAGAUUAAAUUAAAAACACAUUUAUAUUUAUAUUAGCCAAAUUAAUAUUUAAUUAUGAAAACUCGAGAUAUAACCUAUACAGAUUUUAUUUAGAAAACAAAUUGAAUAAACAUUAAUCAAAUUGAAUUUAAUUUAUGAAACGCCGAGGUAUAACUCUUAGUGGCUUUUACUUGGAAGAAUUAUUUAGAUAGGCAUUAAGCCAAUUAACUUUAGUUUAUGAAAAACCGAUAUAUAACCUAAUUGGCUUUUAUUUAUAAGAGGGUAUGAAGUAGGCAUUAAUCAAAUUAACAAUUAUUAUGAAAAACGAUGUUUAACACUAAAUAGAUUUUAUUUAGAGAAGAACUCGUUUGACAGGCAUUAAUCAAUUUUAAUAUAAAUUUUAUUUUCAAAAACAUGUGUGAAGGAAAACAUUACCACUAACGUGUAAUUUACAUCAUUAUAAAUCUAACGCAACUUGAACGGACAAAAACGGAAUUAAAACAUAGAAUCUAUGGGUUAAACAAGGUUGUAGGGGCCUAAACGUAAUUAACCGUAGACUUGGAGGGUUAGCUGAGAAGAUUACCAAGACUCAGAGAAUAGUCACUGCGAAUAGAUGGAUCUUCGGGGCUAGAUCUGCAAAAGAGGAUGGCUUGGAUCAGAUUGCAAGGAACUGAAAGUUACAGGGGGUUUUCUGCAAGGUUUGAAAGACACAAGAAAUAUGAACAAAAAUUAACAGAUUCUCCAGGGGCUAGAUUGAGAAGUGGCGCCCCAUCUUCCUCCUCACGCCAGGAGCAUGGCGCAGCUCCUGGCCGGCCCGGUUCUGCCGGCGGCGACGGCCGAGGCCGAGGCAGCUUGCGCGAGUGGCGGGUGGAUGCGCCAGCAGGGAGGCUCGGCCGGCGGCUCCGGCGGCGCACAGGCGGCGGCGCAGCGUGCAGGCGGCGGGCGGACGAACGGACCAGCAGCCAUGUUACGGUUGUGCACAGAAACAGGAAACAGAAGAAAGAAGAAAGAGAGAGGAAGAUGGAAAAGCCGGAAACGAAGUCCGAUCUCGCGCAUGAAUAGCAAAAUGGAACGAUAUCGACGAGACGAACAAGAUGGUGUGCUCACCUUCGGCCAGAGAUGAACAAUGGCGGCAGAAAAGCUCGCCCGAGUUGGGGAAGACGACGGAGCCGACAUCGGAUUCAUGCAAUCCACGACACCACGGCGUAGAGCUCGAAGAGAGGAACUCCAUGGUGGUGUCGGUUUUCGCCGGAAGUCCACGGUUUCGCCGGAAAAGCUCGCCGGAGUUUGACGAAGACCGAACUUUGACUUCAGAUCUACGGAGUUAGGAGAGGUAACUCGUGAAAAGGUUUGCAGAUCUGAAAUCCUCGCGUCGAGACGAACGCGGUGAUAUAUAUAUAGGCCACACUCGGAAAAAGAUAUUUUCGAGUUGACUUUUUAUUUUCGGAAUUUCUGAUUUUAUUUUUCUGCGCGAAAACAAUUUCAGAAAUAGCUGGACUCGUUUUCUAAAGCGAGAAAAAUAUCUAGAAAAUUCCGAAAAAUCUGAGAUAAAUCUCAGAGAUGAAUUGGGAUGCAAGGAAUCCAAAUAAAAUACUUGGAGCUCGUGAAAAGGAUUUUAGAACCUUCCAAAAAUUGGAUUUAGCUCUAGAAAAAGGAAAAUAAUUUCCGGAAAAAGAUGGAAAAUUCUCACAAGGGUUUGGGCAACGUCUAAACGUAUUUUCAAACUUUUGCACUCAAGAAACGCCAAGAUGCAGUGACAUGAAUGCACAGACAUAGAACAACAUUAUUUAAUUUAUAAAAGCAAACAAUUAUUUUUCCUAUACUAAAUUUCCUGUAAAGAAAAAUAAAUGUUGGGAAAAUUUUAAAAUUAUGAGAAAAUUAUUGUUUAUUUAUUCUUUUUAUUCACAUCCUGAAAUUCGGAAAUUUCAGGGUGUGACAACACUACCCCCCUUAACAAGAAUCUCGUCCCGAGAUUCGCAAAGGCUAGCAAGAGACAAAGGUUUAGGUGGGUAGCAUCCAACACUUAUUAGCUUCUUCCUAGAUCGUUCAUCCUUACGUAAGCUUCUCAAUCAUGCUUCUUUAUGCUUCACUACAUCACAUAAAACACUUCAGGGAUACUUAGUCUAAUUCCUCUUUUAAGUAUCCUUUCCUUCCCUCUGCUUCUUUGGCCCAUCUUUGAAGAAUUUUCUUCAUUUCUUGGUAAAGUGAUUUGAAUAGAGCUGAAUGGCUUCCAUCUGGCUCGACUGUCACCCUUCAAGUCUUCAUACCCAUUCUUAAGUCUUCUUAUCCAUCUGGUCCAAACGCUUCUUGGAACAUUGUCUGAUGAAGUGUCCCUCUUCUUUGCGGUAGAAACAUGUUUUUCUUGCUUUGGUACUUUGGCAACUGGAUGUGGUAUGGGAAUUGGGCAUUGGAAAUUGAUGGCAUUCUUUCCUAACUGAGGCGUCCUGAUCAUUUGUCCUAACAAAGAGGCCAACUGAUGUUGUCGGGUUGAAGGUAGGGCUAUUGGAUCCUUGGCCCAGGGUUGAUCAUCUUUCUCUUUUGCACACCAACUAACAAGAUGUUCAUUUUCUCCCCACUUGAGGCAAUAUAUUUUGGCUCCAGCGGACCUGGUCCACUUACACUUUAUUGGAUAGUUAUUGGUAUAAUGGCCUUCUUCACCGCAUCUGCAGCACAGUCUUUUAUUACAUCCUUCUCGUCCUCCUUUCUGCUCCAUGGUAGCUAUCGGUGGAAUAGCUUGUGCAUCAGGAUUCUUCUUGAUGGGGUUGCCAUGUGGAUAGUGAUCAACUUUAGGCUGUGGUUGGUGGGAACUAGGCCGAGUACCGUUAUCCGCCAAUGAUUGUGGUAACUCCAUUUUCUCUUGACUUGCUCUACUAGUUGGCUUCUUGGCUCGCCUACUCCUCCAGGGCUGAAAUUCUUUGAAAGAGAUACUCCAACACUCAAGGUUCAUAGUCUGAGUACUAUCUUCAUCUUGGGUAACUCCCUCUAGGGAUGGCACUUGAGCAUACAACUUCCUCUUCUUAUUGAUAUCUAAAUGAUAAUGUUGUCUGGCUUCAGCUAUCAUUAGGCUAUCUUCUUUCUGGAGACAUGGAAGACGAUGGUGUUCCUGGAAUCUUAACAUCUUCAUAUUGUCUCUCCAUUUCCAGCUCCGAUAUUCUAUGGCUUCUCUUGUUCCUUUGACAGUCCCAGGCUUCAGCAACUUGCCUCUUCACUGGUCCAGUGAGAAUUCUAGCCUUGGUUAUCUCCAUGUUAUGAGGGGAUGAUGUGUCAGUCUGCAUCCUUCCUUGUAAGACUUGAGCCUGCAUGGCUAAUAGCUUCUCGUUGUUGAACGGUAGUGGAGCAAACGAAACGUGAUGGUCAUCACUGGUGAUAGGGUUGUGGUUCCGAGGAAGUGAGGCUUGCUCUGUGAUAUACUGAUGGAUAUUGACCAUGGUUUGAGACAUUUCUUGUAAAACCUGAGUUUGUGUUGCCAUAUACUUUAACAUCUUGCGUUCGAAUGAUGCGGCUACAGGUGGAAUGUUAAGAUCUCCUUCAUUGGCUCUAUCUUCAUGAUUUUCAUUGGGACUCGCCAUUUGGUUGCGUGAUAAGGAUAGGAUCAGUAGAAAAUAGGUAAUGGAUAAAAUUGCAGAACAAGGUAGAGCACUUCAUGAUAUCUUCGUCUUUUCUUGGGUCGUCAUCCGAGUAAGGUAGAAGGAAGGAUAGAAAGUAGCGAGGUGGCAAGAAACUAGAGUAGGACCCCUUUUUUUUUCCUUCGACUUGCUUCUACUCCGACGGUGGUGGUGGCGAUAGCAUCUGCUUGUUGACAUUGGUGUCGCCUUCACUUUCUCUCUUGAUGAGAAUUGGGAAAGGUUACAAGGAUGUGGGAGGUACAAGUGGAUUCAAAGAGAGAGAAAAACAAAGAGGAGGGAGACAACAAGAUUCUUAUGGUAGAGUGGAUAGUCUUUCAUCUUUGCUUGUUGCGAGUAGAAUCUCCCUACUUUCUUCAUCUUCUUGGUUCUUUUAAUCAUCAUUAGAGUAAGAUGGAGAUCAGAGUAAAGCCUUCUAUUCUUCAACUUGCUUCUAGCGAGACGGUGGUGGUGAUGUUAACUCCUGCUUGUUGACGUUGGUGUUGGCUUUAGUUCUCUCUUUUCUGAUGCCCUUCAUUGGCUCGGGUAGAAAGGAAUUGAUGACAAGGAUAUGGGAGAUUCAAAAGAAGAACCCAGCUAGGCAACUGAUGUCAUUGUAGAUAGAAGACCCACAAUACAUCAACAAUCAUUACAAAGAAACAAAUCAGACAAUUUCAUAAAGACAAGCAUCAUCAUGCAAACACAGAAUUCCACCAGUCAACACAGAGUCAAGAAACGAUGCUAAACGUUGUUAAUAAGGCUGCAAAGGGGUACUCCUAAGCAGGGGUUGUUUGGUAAGGCUUCAACGUGCUUGAUGUAGGCAUCCUUCAGCUUGCCCAGCAUUGACUCCAGCUGUUUGGUGCACGUUUCAGUUGCUUAGGCUUGACUUCUAGUGGUGAACUGGUAACUUCAUUCUCCAGAUGUCUUGAACAGGCUUUAAGACAUGUGGCAUGGAUCAUCUAGAUAUUUUUGAAUAAAAUGAGACAUUUUGGAAUCAAAAGUCAAGGAAAAGAUUCCAAGGUAGCAUUUAUUUCAAAAGCAACGAGAGGUACAAUGGGGAAGAUGGAUAUACUGAAAAUAAAGUUAAGGAAGAGAUAGGUUUACAAGGAUAAGUCUGUAAGGAAAACAUUAAGGAGAUAAAUGAACAGGGGAUGAGAGAGUAGCAAUAUCACUAAGAAAUCAAGGAGGUGUAUUGCAUCAAACAGGUAAGAUCAUUCAUCAAGAAGGAGAUGCAUGAUAAAGAUCAAGCAGUGAUCAAGGAGAGAGGAAAUAAAUAGAUAAGGAUUGAGGGUCUAACAUUUGCAAAACAAGAAGUGCAAAGGAAAAGAGCUCAAGUUAUCAAGCAGGAUUGAGAACAGAAAAUGAUUAAGGAGUGAGAAUAUUUUUCAGAAAGGUCAAGGAUAAGGCAGGAAUUGUUUUUAUAGUAAAGCAGACCUUAAGAAGCGGCCAUUGCUAUCUAGGCUUACGCCCUACAGUCGAUACGGCUCUGAUACCACUUCUGUCACACCCGGUUUUAAGGACAAAACCAAGUGUUACCUAUAUGUAUGCCAGGAUCAAGUUUCAUACAUAUAGUGACAUCAUUAGUGAAUAACAGCAACAGUAUCACGUAAAAAGAUACAAAGACUUACGAAACCAUCAGAGAUAUACAGCUUAAUUAUGGAAACGGAGGCUCCAAACUUCACAGGCAAUCGACUGGGGGUUGCGUACGCCUAGAACUUAGCACCAUCUUCACAACAACUUCAUAGCAGCUUCUUCUUCUGAGCAAUGUUGUUUAUAGCAAGGGUGAGCACUUGUCGUACUCAGCAAGUGUGAGGAGAAUAUGAAUACAAGGGUUAAACAAGGAAAGGCUGACUGGUUGACUGCAUUAAGCAUUUUUAGUUGGUCAAAUUUUAUUAGCACCUGAUUACUAAGGUAUAAGUAUAUACCAACCCACAAUUAAUAGAAACGUAAACAUAAGCCAUAAGCACAUGGCAGAAACAUAACCAUAAGCCAUAAGCACGAUUUAAGUCCAUCUUCAAGUAUAUUAAUCAUGUGAGGGUCCAGGCCGCUCUUAACCGUGAGCACGGCUGAUCGAUCAGUUUUACACUCUGCAGAGGUCGCACAUCUUUACCCACAAGUCGCGUAAAAGCUCAAAAGAACUUUAGACCCAACCACGCUUGUGCUGAUCAGGCACAAUACCACACUUCCGAGGUGUGAUUGCAUAGGGACGCUACGAGGCCUUUACAAAGAUUCGCUAGCAAUGUGGUAACCCGCUAAGGUUUCAGGUCGAAGCGAAACAUAGCAGUCCCCUAGAGGGUAUAGUGUCUUAGCCAAGCCCACUUCCCAAGAGAGCGAGUGCUAUAUCCCAUCAACGCCUCCCCUCUUGCCCUUUCGGUAAGGUUACCCCAAACUAGAGUUUCUGAUUAUUCAGCCAAGACCAGAGCCAUUUAGUCUUGUGGUAGCACUGUUUUCCUGGGUGGUCGCUCCAUGUUCCAAUUAAAUAUGGUAAUCUUGUAUUAACAAAAGGUAUAUCAUAAAUGGAAUAAGUUCACCAAGUCGUUCGUUAGAACCACCAUAACCCAAGUAUAGCAGCUAAGCAUAGCUACCCAACAAAAGGGUAAACCCAGGUUGGCAAGGAAUAAUCAUAAAAACUAGGCAAACCUUAAUA